RNAcentral lists this ribosomal RNA (493 nucleotides) under uncultured bacterium. RNAcentral's name for it is "partial 16S ribosomal RNA". It matches the Rfam family "Bacterial small subunit ribosomal RNA", at positions 29 to 507 of the family's 1533-position model. The record is from RNAcentral.
ACGAACGCUGGCGGCGCGCUUAACACAUGCAAGUCGAACGGAAAGGCCUGCUUUCCCUUGUGGAUUGCGGGUACUCGAGUGGCGAACGGGUGAGUAACACGUGAGUGAUCUGCCCCCAACUUGGGUAUAAGCCUGGGAAACUGGGUCUAAUUCCCGAUAGGACUGCAGGGUGGUGCCUGUGGUGGAAAACGAUUUUCUAGUGGUUGGGGAUGAGCUCGCGGCCUAUCAGCUUGUUGGUGGGGUAAUGGCCUACCAAGGCGGCGACGGGUAGCCGGCCUGAGAGGGUGGACGGCCACAUUGGGACUGGGAUACGGCCCAGACUCCUACGGGAGGCAGCAGUGGGGAAUAUUGCACAAUGGGCGGAAGCCUGAUGCAGCGACGCCGCGUGGGGGAUGACGGCCUUCGGGUUGUAAACUCCUUUCGACCGCGAGGAAGCCACCUGGUUGGAAGGGUGGUGACGGUAGUGGUAGAAGAAGCACCGGCUAACUACGUG